CUGCGGAGGGAUCAUUACAGAGUUCAUGCCCUUACGGGUAGAUCUCCCACCCUGUGUUAUUAUUACCUUUGUUGCUUUGGCGGGCCGCCCGGCUUCGGCCAGGCUACCGGCUCCGGCUGGUAAGCGCCCGCCAGAGGACCCAAAACCCUGAAUGUUAGUGUCGUCUGAGUACUAUAUAAUAGUUAAAACUUUCAACAACGGAUCUCUUGGUUCUGGCAUCGAUGAAGAACGCAGCGAAAUGCGAUAAGUAAUGUGAAUUGCAGAAUUCAGUGAAUCAUCGAAUCUUUGAACGCACAUUGCGCCCCUUGGUAUUCCGAGGGGCAUGCCUGUUCGAGCGUCAUUACAACCCUCAAGCAAUGCUUGGUAUUGGGCCCCGCCGCUCACCCGGCGGGCUCUAAAAUCAGUGGCGGUGCCGUCGGGCUCUGAGCGUAGUAAUUCUUCUCGCUAUAGGGUCCCGGUGGAUGCUGGCCAACAACCCCCAAUUUUCUAUGGUUGACCUCGGAUCAGGUAGGGAUACCCGCUGAACUUAAGCAUAUCAAUAAGNCGGAGGA
RNAcentral lists this ribosomal RNA (551 nucleotides) under Leptodontidium sp. Sib5-8-2. RNAcentral's name for it is "eukaryotic LSU rRNA". The stretch from base 187 to 340 matches the Rfam family "5.8S ribosomal RNA". Lineage: Eukaryota; Fungi; Ascomycota; Leotiomycetes; Helotiales; Leptodontidiaceae. The record is from RNAcentral.